GGGUCUGUAGCUCAGUUGGUUAGAGCACGUCGCUCAUAACGAUGUGGUCGUUGGUUCAAGUCCAACCAGACCCACCA
Molecule: transfer RNA, 77 nt
Filed under: Rickettsiales bacterium
Lineage: Bacteria; Pseudomonadati; Pseudomonadota; Alphaproteobacteria; Rickettsiales
Description: tRNA-Met
Rfam family: tRNA
About the family: Transfer RNA (tRNA) molecules are approximately 80 nucleotides in length. Their secondary structure includes four short double-helical elements and three loops (D, anti-codon, and T loops). Further hydrogen bonds mediate the characteristic L-shaped molecular structure. tRNAs have two regions of fundamental functional importance: the anti-codon, which is responsible for specific mRNA codon recognition, and the 3' end, to which the tRNAs corresponding amino acid is attached (by aminoacyl-tRNA synthetases). tRNAs cope with the degeneracy of the genetic code in two manners: having more than one tRNA (with a specific anti-codon) for a particular amino acid; and 'wobble' base-pairing, i.e. permitting non-standard base-pairing at the 3rd anti-codon position.
Source: RNAcentral